GACGAACGCUGGCGGCGUGCUUAACACAUGCAAGUCGAACGGAAAGGCCCUGCUUUUGUGGGGUGCUCGAGUGGCGAACGGGCGAGUAACACGUGAGUAACCUGCCCUUGACUUUGGGAUAACUUCAGGAAACUGGGGCUAAUACCGGAUAGGAGCUCCUGCUGCAUGGUGGGGGUUGGAAAGUUUCGGCGGUUGGGGAUGGACUCGCGGCUUAUCAGCUUGUUGGUGGGGUAGUGGCUUACCAAGGCUUUGACGGGUAGCCGGCCUGAGAGGGUGACCGGCCACAUUGGGACUGAGAGACGGCCCAGACUCCUACGGGAGGCAGCAGUGGGGAAUAUUGCACAAUGGGCGGAAGCCUGAUGCAGCAACGCCGCGUGCGGGAUGACGGCCUUCGGGUUGUAAACCGCUUUCGCCUGUGACGAAGCGUGAGUGACGGUAAUGGGUAAAGAAGCACCGGCUAACUACGUG
RNAcentral lists this ribosomal RNA (468 nucleotides) under uncultured bacterium. RNAcentral describes it as "partial 16S ribosomal RNA". It matches the Rfam family "Bacterial small subunit ribosomal RNA", at positions 28 to 507 of the family's 1533-position model. The record is from RNAcentral.